Candoia aspera is the source of this 519-nucleotide long non-coding RNA. RefSeq lists it as uncharacterized. The record is from RefSeq and is a predicted model, not a curated record. The transcript has 3 exons. Lineage: Eukaryota; Metazoa; Chordata; Lepidosauria; Squamata; Candoiidae.
CUCUACUAUAAACACCACCACCCACUACUCCUCCCCUGUACUGCCCUACACAGUUUGCGAUUAGAGAAUUUGAAAGACUACGUAUCCCCAUGUGCUCCUUGAUCUACCUAGACCUUUGGCAUGGGUUCUGUUCAAUGUCCCUUCACUGGCAGAAACCUAAGAGAUUGAUGUGAGCCACCUUAGGAAAACUAUUGAGACAAAACCUACAGGAUAAUAAGAUAAAAGUCAAUAGAAGCUCUAAGGGCAUCUUCUGCAUAAUAAUUACAAUUACUAAUAUAUCAAACAGCAGAAAAUAUUACUAAAUAUAGCAAUCUGAGAGAAAAUAACCAAAGCAUUAAGCCAGAUCUGAAAAUUUAAAUGGUCUGAGUAAUCACACAAGAAGUUCAACAUGUUUUCAUUUCUUGUAAUAAUUUUUUAUAUUUUUAAAAUAUGUUUGUAUAUUGGUUUUUAAUUUGUUUUUAUUGGAUUGUUUAUAUCUGUUGUGAGCUGCCCAGAGUCACUUAGAUGAGAUGGGUGGCC